AAGUCGUAACAAGGUUUCCGUAGGUGAACCUGCGGAAGGAUCAUUAUCGAGAGGGGCUGGCUGAUUAUGUGCGCGAAAUGUGUGUGCAAGUCAGCAGAGCCAAAGCCUACCCUCAACCCCUGUGUGAACCUUGGUUGCCGCUGAGUGGUGAUAAUGGCCGGCGAACAACCGAGCUUUCCAAGGAAAGCGUCCGUUGGUAGCUGCUACGCCACACCACAAUGCGUGCAUCCAACAUUUUCUUUCUUCUACACUUCCUUCUUCGGCAGUGUCUUUAACCGAGUAUCCAAUAAUGUGGUUUAUUUUGGGUUGUGUGGGCAGAUCGUAUUCUAGCCCGCUCAAUGGACACCACUGGAAAAUACAAAAAUGACUUUCAGCAACGGAUCUCUUGGCUCUC
This 394-nucleotide unclassified non-coding RNA is filed under the name fungal sp. RNAcentral's name for it is "partial internal transcribed spacer region". The stretch from base 1 to 46 matches the Rfam family "Eukaryotic small subunit ribosomal RNA", at positions 1786 to 1831 of the family's 1831-position model. The record is from RNAcentral. Lineage: Eukaryota; Fungi.